This is a non-coding RNA of Papio anubis (olive baboon), 190 nucleotides long. NCBI's taxonomy places the organism in Eukaryota, Metazoa, Chordata, Mammalia, Primates, Cercopithecidae. The record is from Rfam.
GGGUUGGUGAGGGCAAUCUAGUCAACAUCCGUCACUCCAUUGCUUGUUAGGAUUAUUUUAGCCGAUUUGUCUGACUGGGCAGGUGUCCCCUCUCUCCCUCAGUGCUCCAUGUGCAUCCCUCUUGAAGCUUCGCACUCUGUUGAAGAGGACACUCAUCCCAGGUAGAGAGGGGGACGGGAAACUGGGCCAA